UGCUAUGGUUCGCACUGGGAUUUCACAGCA
Molecule: non-coding RNA, 30 nt
Filed under: Rattus norvegicus (Norway rat)
Lineage: Eukaryota; Metazoa; Chordata; Mammalia; Rodentia; Muridae
Source: RNAcentral